This is an RNA transcript of Spinacia oleracea (spinach), 16947 nucleotides long. RefSeq lists it as uncharacterized. The record is from RefSeq and is a predicted model, not a curated record. Lineage: Eukaryota; Viridiplantae; Streptophyta; Magnoliopsida; Caryophyllales; Amaranthaceae. The transcript is spliced from 4 exons.
CUCCCACCCUCCCCUUCCUCCGUAUCUUCGACCCUCGUAUGGUUUAUACUUUCUUGCGUCGUUUAUGUCGUUAUUUUCGUAUGGUUUAUAGUUUGUCUUUUAAUCCAAUUGCUGAAUAAUUAGGGAUUUGAUAGAUUUCUGAUUUUCGAAUUCUCCGUAAUAUAUCGGCUGAGUUAUUGACUGUUGCCUGCUUUCUAGGCUUCUUUCGGAUUGAUCGGUGUAAUAUUUGCGCAAUUUUUUGAGACGGGGGCUGUUAAUUCAAUUGCUGAAGAAUAAUUAGGGGUUGUAAUUAAUUUUGAAUUAGGGGUUUGAAUUCAUGUUUAUGUUCUUGCGCUGCUCUAUAAGGUUUCUAAUUGGUUGAUAAUUUCUGAUCGGAGGGCUGUUUGUUUAAUGCGAUUGCUAAACUAUUAGGGUUUGAUUGGAUUUCUGAAGUUCGAAUUCUCCGAAAUUUAUAGGCUGGUUUAUUGAUCGUUGCUGCUUUCUUGGCUUCUUUCCGAUUGAUCGGUGUAAUAAUUACGCAAUUUUUAAGACGGUGGAUGUUAAUUCAAUUGCUGAAGUUUGAGGGUUUUAAUCAAUUUUGAAUUAGGGGCUUGAAGUAUAAUUGCCGAAUUUCAUAUUUAUGUUCUUGCACUAAUCUAUAAGGUUUCUGAUUGGUUGAUAAUUUCUGAUCGGAGGGCUAUUUGUUUAAUUCGAUUGCUGAAUGAUUAAGGUUUGAUUGAAUUUCUGAAAUUCAUAUUCUCCGAAAAUUUAUCGGCUGAUUUAUUGAUUGUUGCUGCUUUCUAGGCUUCUUUCGGAUUGAUCGGUGUAGUAUCUGCGCAACUUUUGAGAUGGAGGCUGUUAAUUCAAUUGCUGAAAAAUUAAUCGUUUUUCCCUAGUUUAUGAUGGUUUUAUUCAGUUUUGAUUAUCGAUUCAAUUUGAAGUAUAAUUGAAGGAUUUAGUUCUGAUUCAAUUGCUAGAACUAGAAGAUGCUUUUUAGCUUGAUUUGUGAUUGAGCAUGACAGUUCUUUGUUGGCGGUUGAAUAGUGAUCAAGUAUGUCAUUUGUUGAUUUGGAUGCGGGUUACAAUUUGAUUAAAUAGUCCGUGUUUGAUUUUGGUAGAUUUUGAUGAUUAUGGAGUUGCUUCGGUUUAAGGUUCCUGUCAGACUUUGAUGAUUAUGUAGUUGCUUCGCUUAAAGGUUCGUGUUAGAUUUUGUUGAUUAUGCAGUUGCUUCGCCUAAAGGUUCGUGUUAGAUUUUGAAGAUUAUGCAGCUGCUUUGCCAAAAGGUUUGUGCUAGAUUUUGGUUUGAUUUUUGAUGAGUAUGCAUUUGGUUGUGUGUUCGGUGAUCAAGUAGGUUGUUUGUUGAUAUGCAAUCCUCAUAAAAGUUUGUGCUUUAUGAGGAUUGUAUAGAGCUGAUAUGCAAUUUGAUUUGUCCGUUUCAAAUGCUGUUGUGUUGGUUGUAGUCCCAAAAACUCUUACAGAUUUUCAGGUGUUCCGUUUCUGUUCACUAUGAUUUUGUGUGAUUCACCUCAUGAUUCUGUGAUGAUGAAUAAGUUUGAGGAUUUGAAGAUAAAAAUUUGUUAUGAAAAAUUCAAAUCUUGUAGGCGAUGGUAUUUGGAUUAGGUGUUUAUUAAUUACGUUUAGAAUCCCUUAUUACCAAAUAAGAUCCCUCGGUGCUGUUUAUUUCAGACUUCAUACUUCUAAUUUCUUAAUAAUAUCUGCAUUAUUCAGUUGGCAACGGAAGUUUCCUUCGAUUCUCCCCUGCUUUGGUAAACUGUAAAUAUUGCUUAAUACCAUAGUUUUGAACUGUUUUUAAACGGCUUUUAUCUUGUACUCUAUCAUUUAUUUUCAUCUUUUUGUUCUGUUAUAUAUUUUUCAGUUAUACUAGCUUUUCUGAUGUUACUUAAACAUAGGUUUUAUUGAGAAUGAUGAACUUUUAACAGAAUUUCUUUAAAGUAAUUCAUAGGUCAUAUUUUCAUUUGAAACAAAAUUGUUUCCUAUCUAAUUUUCUCUUUUUGGGUUGGAUUUUGAUACAGCAAAAGACAAGAGGUCGAAAUCCAAAUAAGCUGGUUCCUUGCAAAUAGUCAUGUUUUCAUUUGAAACAAAAUUAAUUUUUUUAUUUCCUUAUUAUUUUCGCUAGCUCCUCAAAUCUUUAGUUUUUUUCAUAAAGUAAGUGCGCUUCUGAUAUUUCCAAGUAUUGUCCAGAGACCAAAGUAUGAGUAUUAAGAGUGGUUGACUACCUGAGAUUCUAUGACAUGCGGAAUUCCUGGAACUAAAUUUUGAGGUCUGAAUUCUCCAAGUAUUGGUUAAUUUAUUGAUUAUAUUUGCUGGACAAUUUGUAUUUGUUUUGUUUUUUCUGCUGCAGUUGGUGAGUAGGUUCUUUGUUGACUGCGUUCCCUAGGAAUAUUGUUAUUCGCUGAAAGGUUUUCCGUAGAUGGUUUUGAUCAGCAUACACACUUUGAUUUGUUGAUUGGGAGUUUUGUAUAGCUUUUUCCACCUCUAUUGUGGUGCUUGCAGUUCUAAGUCACUUGCAAAUUUAGGCGUUUGUUUUGUAUUUCCCCCUCCAAGUCUUCUCUUGUGUUUGCUUGUUUCGUGAACAGGUGAUGGGGGUGAUGACGAGUUAGACAAAGUUCCUCUUGAAAACCAAAUUACACAUUGUGAUAUUUAUACUUGAUUAAAUAAAUAUUUGUUCUAACAUCAGAUGGUGUGGUUGGUGUGUUUAACAAUAAAUAAUUUAAUUUUAAACAUCACUCAUUCUGAAAUAUGGACUUUGGUGUAGGAAACUCCAGUCCUAUGUUGCUAUCCAUUUCCUCCUAUUCCUGUUUUUAUCAUGGAAACUGAUUUUGUAUGUAAGUAACGCAUGCUUGUUCUUCGUGGUGGUGUCAAGUUCGUCAAAUAAUAUUAAUUAUCAACUUAUCAGUAUAAUGUUCUCCAUCCCUAUGUGAUUAGCAGGGUUACUAAGUUCAGUGGUAUGUUACUUCUCAUAAUUUCUUUCUUGCUUGUGUUGGAGAUUACAGUAAAUGAUUUCCACUCUCUCUGAGUCAUGUGUGGUAUUGCGUUUCUUUCUCCCAAGGCUUGUGUUAUGUUAGAAACUUCAUUUGCUGUUAUUCUUUUUUGGGUCUAUUUCUAGCCUAAGCUUCCCGGUAGUUUUUGGCCCCAUUGUUGGUAAUUUGUUUUUUAAUUUUUAUAUUUCUAUUUUGACUUGUGGGAUUAUAGCUUUGUGCUUGAGGUGAGGGUGUAGGGAUGUAAGUGUUCUCAUCCAGGUAACAUUUUCUUUAGAACCAGUAUAUAUUUGCAGACUACUGACAUGUGAUCUUGUGGCUUACUCGUAAGAAUUUUUUAUUGGUGAUUUUUGAAUUUGUUGUUUUCCUAUGAUUUGACUUCUUGAUAUGGUCUGCAAUUGGUGACUGGGGAUGAAAGAUUUUCUGGUUUGUUUCUCUUGCAGACAACAUUAUUUGGUAGUUCUCAUGGUCUUAGGAUCACAGUUUGAGGUUAGAAUCUUUUUGUCCACGGAGACCCCUUCAUCCUUUCAAUCAACAAUAUCUUUUCCCUUUGAAUUCGCAUUAUAUUGAUGUGGACAAGGUUUAUCACAUCUAUGGGGUAGAGGAAGUUUCGUAUUUUUUUUUCCCCGAAGAAAGCAACACUUGCUUAAGCCUCGGGGUAGUGUAAAUGUAUUUCUUUAUUUGAAAGGCAAUCUAAUCUACGUUUUCGUUCUAUACUAUUGUUACUACUGUGCCUUAGGUGCUAAGCGGUGGCAGCUGCAGGGGGCUGAUUUUUCUGAUUCAUUUGUUUUUUCUCCUACGUAAUCUUCUCUGUUUUUCUGUUGGCAAGUGUUGCGGACUUGCGGUAGUUAUCAUCUCCAUUGUGGUAGCAUGCUUGCUGGAAAAUGAUUGGUUUCUGAUAGUAUUUCAGAGUAAGUAUUGUUUCCUUAAAGGCUAGUGUGGCAGUAUGAGUUCUGUUUCUUAAUAAUUACUCCGUAAGUCCGUGGGUGAAUUUUUAGCUUCAGCUUCCUGGGUAUGUGUACUUUCCUUUUUCCUUUUGUGAUGAGUGUUGAUCGUUUAUUUUUUUGGUACACUUAGAACCACAGUCUGUUCUUUUUUUUUCUUAUUCCAUGGGCCCCUUCAUCUUUCCUAUCAACAACUGCUUCGCCGUCGAAAUCGCACAUUGGUGGCAGAUAAUAUCUAUUGAUCUAAGGGAGUUUUAUACCUGUUCCUUCUAACACUUCCCCAGAUUUUAAGUGCAAACAUCCUUUGGCCAUGAAUUGUUCUGUAGGUAAACAGACAACUACUUCUUUAUUGGACUUCGUGUUGAUUAAAGGACAUUAUGUUGAUCCACCUGCUGGAUUUCUUGGAGGAACAUUAAGGUUUGGUUGGUUUGUGCACUUUCUGCAUGACUUGCUGACUUAAUUGCUGAUAAAUAUUUGGCCUUCUUGGGAGCGAAGUUCUUUCUGUUUGUUGUUUCGACUGUUGUGGCGCUUAACUUUUGCAGAUUUAUGGUGUUCUCUUCCUUCCACUUCUACUUCCAUUUGCUUUUGUAAAGUCAUCUCUUGAUUCAUGAUUAAGUGGUUGGUCAUAAUCAAUUAACGAUACAACAUCAGAAUAAGUUAUUAUCAAACUGCGGAAGGUCAUUUCUAUUUAAUCAAUAGACCUGUCUGUGAUGCUGUGACCUAUUCUGCAGUCUGCACACAAUUAAUUACUUGUGAGCAAUACAUGAUUUUUGCUGUAGGUUGAUAAUAGUUGUUCCCCUAAAUUGAAGGCAAUCUGGUAACUGACUGAAGCUGAUAUACGUGUAAAAUGAGCAAUUCCCUUGGAUAGUGUCAUUUGAAGAUGAAAAUUCUGACGCUGAUGAUAGUCGAAGAAUUAGGAGUUUGGUGACUUAUUGAUUAUUUUAGCUGGAGGAUUUCUUUGUUUGGUUUUCAAUGGUCAUGCAGUUGCUUCUCGGUGGUUGAUUAAUUGGUGAUCAAGUAGGUUGUUAGUUGACUCCGUUUCCGAUAACCUUAUGUCCAGAUAGGUUUUUGCUAGAUGAUUUUGAUCUGCAUAGUUGAUGGAUUUUGGAGUCCUUCUGAACAGAUGUUUGACUACUAACUCUUGCAGAUCAGGAAUUGUUUUUACUUUGUCCUCGUGAAAUUCUCUCUCUUGCAGAUUAGGAAUCGUUUUUGCUUUGUCCUCGUGAAAUUCUCUAGAUUUUAUUUACUGGUUUCAUGAUCAAGCGAGGGUGGAUUCCGACAAAGUUCCUCUUGGGAACCAAAUGACAUCGGUGACAGUGUUUUGAUAGGUUGCAAAUAGUUUAACAUUUGAUGAUGGGCCUUAAUGUUGUCAACUUCAGUGCGUUUUGUUGUUCGUAUCUUCUCCUCCUUUAUGAUCGUGGACCUUUUGCAACAAUAGGAUAUUGAUACAUCUGAAGCGGUGCAAGCUUGUGAUUUGGGAUGGGUGUUGUGAGUCGUUCUCUUUUCAUUUUUCUGAUUAGUUACCUUGACAACCAAAUUACACGGGUGAUGGUAUGUUAUUAGGUUGCAUAUAUUUCAACAUCUGAUGAUGGGCGUGGUCAGAGUUAAAACAAUUUUGAUGGUUAGAAUUUGCAGUCUAUUCUUUCUCCAGUUGUGGUUUUACUCAUUCUCAAUCUGGUACCUUGAUCCUGUCGACUUCAGUUUUUAUACAGGUUUUUUUUUGGAACUCUGACUGCAGUAUGUUGUGUUCGUAUUCUUCUCCUCCUGUUUAAUCAUGGACCUAUUUUCUUCAUGUAUAGGAAAUUGAAUUCAUGUGUAACGCAUACUUGUGAUUUGGGGAUGGUGUUGUGAAUCUUUCUAGUCAUUUUUCCGAUUAGAGGGUGAUUAGGCUGUUGCUAAUUGGUCAUCGGUAGCAUCUUUGGAGUUUCUUGCUUUAUCUGGAUUCUGGAUUUUCACAAUUGGAUUCUUACGGUGUUUGUUUACGUUCUCCUAGGCUUUUGCUGGAAUUUAUUUUCUUCAUUUUAGUAUCUUUUUUGUCAAUUUUGUAGCUGGUGGCUAGUAUUGAUCAUUUCCUUUUUACUGUUUAUGUUCUGAAGAUUUUCACUCAUCUUGUAUGGAGAUAGCUUGUGCUUCAAUGACUGAAUCAUAUGGGUCUUAUUAGAGUUGGUGAUGCAGAAUCUUGAUAAGAGUUGUCUAGAAGUGUAGAUGCAGUUUCCCAUCCUGUCCUUUCAAUCCUGAAAUCUGGGUCUUAUUAGGUUUGCUUGCCUCGUAAAGUGUUGGUGCUUGGAAACAUAUGGAUGUUGGUGGCUCGUGAUGUGUUUUGGCUGGCUUAUAAUUUUUGUUGGUUAAUUUGGCUUCGAUUAUUUUGGAACAUGUUGGUGUGGUGGUUUCUUGGAGACUGGGUGUCAAAAACUUUAUGGUUUGAUUUUAUUACAGAACUAUGCAACUUUAUGGUUCUGGUUCUUUUACACAAAAUAAAAUGAAAAUGUGAACAUCCUUAGGCUGUCUUAUUUUGUAGGUAUACAACCAGUUGCUUCUGCAUUUGACAUUCGAUCAAAAUGGUUAUCUGGAGGAGUUACGCAUCAAGAUCCAUUACAAGAAGAUUGUUUUUUAAAAAUAAAUGAUUCUGGUCUGAAGGGUGUGGGGUACUCAAGUUUUUUUAAUGCACUGGGUGAUGUGAAGAGGCAUGCCUUUCUCUCCGUUUUUUUCUUCUGCUAAGGUGCUCGACUCUUGCAGCUAGUUUCUGUUUCUAAGAGCCUUCAGUGAACGAAGCAGCUAUUAUUGGCUCUGUUCGUACAACAUUUUGAUUUGUUCAGGAUUAUUGGUACUUGAAGCGGUUGUGGUAUCAUGAGGUUUGAGUUUUGUUGUCGCAUCUUUUAGUUUCUGACAUGUGCGUAAGAAGUAGAUUAUGUUUCUAGGAUUGUUGUAUCUUGAUAAGGAUCAUUUAUGACGAAGAAAAAGUAAUAUUUUGGGUUUUACAGUUCUGUGUGCCCUCAGAGAUUUUUUUUGGGGGUGAAUACUGCUCUGUGUGCCUUCAUGUGUGACUUUUGGCUGAUGAGUGUGACAGUAGUAAUUUUUAUGAUAUAUUGUCUACGAAUGGUGGAACUUUGAUUUCAUGGACUUCCUUCUGCCGAUAUAAAAUAACUUUUGUGUCCUUUCACUUAAGGAAUUUGUGAACAAUUCGCUGCUUGGUCUUCAACAUGCCCAUCUUAUGAAACUCCGACCUUCAUUAUGACAAGUUAAUUUUGAUUUUGUGAUUCCUGAUGCUCCUUCUACUUCUUGGCUUCUUGCAAAUCAUCCCUCUUAACUUCAGGAGUUCAACUGUUCCAUGGUUAAGAUUUUGUGAAUUUUUAUGGUUCCAAGACUGUAUCUUCUCUUCGUUGUGACUUGCUGGGUGAAAUUGUUUUAGGGUUUGUUGUUGGAUUCUCUUCCUGAAUCAUUUCAUGACUUACUUCUUGCUCUCAAAAUAGAGCUAUUGGUGCACUUUGAUGCUUUUGACAUGGCUUUCACAUGGAGAUUUUUCUAACAUUUUUUGCGGUGAUUUUUUGUACAUUUGCACACUGGACCUGCAGAGUGUAGUUGGUUAUGUUUACAUAGAUUUUGGACUCCUUUUCCUUCAGAAUCUUUUUGUUUUGAACCUUUGGGAAUUUACAUUUUCUCUUCUUGGUUUAUUUAGUUAGUCAGAUAUAUUACUGACUUCACACUCUGUUGCUUAUAUGAUUUAUAAAGGUGGAAUCUCCUUGGUCGUUGCCGUUGAUUUUCUCUGCUCGGGUAAAAUUUUAUGCGAAGUUGGUUUUAUUUGCUGUGACUGCUUCUGUAAAAGAUUUCUAUUGGGAAUUGGUGUGUUGCUUGUUACAUUUCUGCUUAUUCCAGUGGGAGUCCUCCGUGCCAUGUACAAGUGUCAGCGUUGCUCAUUUAUAUGCCAACAUUUGCUAGUGUAGUGGUCUCCAAUACAUCAGGUUAAUUGUCUGGAAAAUUACGCUGGGUGAAGAGGUCUCAGGAGUUUGGUGACUUAUUGAUUAUUUUAGCUGGAGGAGUUCUUUGUUUUGUUUUUAAUGGUCAUGCAGUUGCUUUCUCGGUGAUUGAAUAAUGGGUGAUCAAGUAGCUUGUAAGUUGACUCUGUUGUCCGAUAACCUUAUUUGCAGAAAGGUUCGUGCUAGAUGAUUUUGAUCUGCAUAGUGGAUGGAUUUUGGAGUCCUUUCUGAACAGUUGUUUCGACUACUACUGUUCCUGUAGUUUACUUAAUCUCUUGCAGAUCAGAAUUCGUUUUUGCUUUGGCCUCAUGAAAUUGUCUAGAUUUUGUUUACCGGUUUCAUGAUCAAGCGAUGCUGGAUUCUGACAAAGUUCCUCUUGGAAACCAAAUGACAUCGGUGACUGUUUUGUAAGGUUGCAAAUAGGUUAACAUCUGAUGAUGGUGUAUUUAGCGUUUAAACAACUGAUGAUUUAAAUUCUUACUCAUUCUCAAUUUGAGGACUUAAUGUUGUCAACUUUAGUUUUUAUACUGGUUCCUUGUUAAUCUGCCUGCAGUGCGUUCUGUUGUUCGUAAUUUUCUCCUCCUUUUUGAUCGUGGACCUUUUGCAGCAAUAGGAUAUUGGUACAUCUUAAGCAAUGCAAACUUUUGAUUUGGGAUGGGUGUUGGUUGGUGCUCGGAAACGUAUGGAUGUUGGUGGCUCGUGAUGCGUUGUGGCUGUCUUACAAUUUUUGUUGGUUAAUUUGGCUUCUAUUGGUUUGGAACAUGAUGUGUGGGGUGGUUGCUUGGAGACUGGAUAUCAAAAACUUUAUGGUUUGAUUUUAUUGCAGAACUAUGCAGCUUUAUGGUUCUGGUUCUUUUACACAAUAAAAUCAGAAUGUGAACAUCCUUAGUCUGUCUUACUUUGUAGGUAUACAACCAGUUGCUUCUGCAUCUGACAUCAUUCGAUCAAAAUGGUUAAUGCUUCAAGAUCUACUGCAUGAAGAUUUUUUUUGUAUAAAAAGGAACAAUUCUGGUAUUAGAAUAUUUCCCUUUAUGCCUCUCAUAGAAUGUGUAUCUUGCUGUUGAUGUUCCUUACCGAACUUGUGGAAUGAAUAGCAUUUAGCACGCCGAUGCUCUUAAUUCUUUACGUCUGAAGGGUGUGGGGUACUCAAGUUUUAAUGCACUGGGUUAGAUGAAGGGGCAUCUCUUUCUCUUUUUUUUUCUUUUCUUUUACCCUAAUAACCCUUGGAGCCAUUUUAUGUACCCUGCUUCUGCUAAGGUGCUUGACUCUUGCAGCUAAUUUCUGUUACUAAGAGCCUUCAGGACUACAGGUAUGGAGCUCGGGUUUCGAUGAUGCUUUGGUUCUUGCUUUUCCUCUCCCUCCCCCCCUCUCUUGGUAGUGUAGAGAAUGUAAGUGAGCUAUUGAGCUUUGACUGGUAAAAGAUCGUCCCAAGCUCUUCGCAAGGUUAGGGUUUAAUCUACUUUUGUUUCUCUUGGCUCCAGUGAAUGAAGCAGCUAUUAUUGGCUCUAUUCUUACAACAUUUUGAUUUGUUCAGUGAUUUGUGGUAUGGGUUUGAGUUUUGUUGUUGCAUCUUUAAGUUUCUGACAUGUGUGUAAGAAGUAGAUUAUGUUUCUAGAAUUGUUGUAUCUUGACAAUGAUCAUUGAUGAGGAAGUGGGUAGGUUUUCAAGAAAAGGUUUAUUUUGGGUUUUACAGAUCUGCGUGCUCUCAGAGAUUUUUUAUUUUAUUUUUUGGGUGUACUGCUCUGUGUGUCUUCACGUGUGACUUUUGGUUGAUGAGUGUGACAUUAGUAGUUUUAUGAUAUGUUGUCUUCGAAUGGUGGAACUUUGAAUUCAUGGACUGUCUUCCGCUGAUAUAAAAUAACUUUUGUGUCCUUUCACUUACGGAAUUUGUGCACAAUUCGUAGCUUGGUCUUCAACAUGCCCAUCUUAUGAAACUCCGAGCUUCAUAUGAUAAGUUAAUUUUGAUUUUGUGAUCCCUGAAGCUCCUCCUACUUCUUGGCUUUUUGCACAUAAUCCCUCUUAAACUUCAGGGGUUCAACUGUUCCGUGGUUAAGAUUUUGUGGAUUUUGAUGGUUCCAAGAGUGUAUCUUCAGAAGUCUUCUGUUCGUUGUGACUUGUUAGAUGAAAUUGCUCUUGGAUUUUGUGGAUUUCAUGACUUACUUUUUGCUCUCAUAAUUGAGCUAUUGGUGGACUUUGAUGCUUUUUGACAUGGCUUGCAUAUGGGGAUUUUUCUAACAUUUUUUACGGUGAUUUUUUGUACAUUUGCACACCAGGCCUGCAGAGAGUGUAGUUGGUUAUUUUUACACAGAUUUUGGACUCCUUUUCCUUCAGAAUCGUUUUAUUUUGUACCUUUGGGAAUAUACAUUUUCUCUUCUUGGUUUAUUUAGUUAGUCAGAUAUAUUACUAAAGGUGGAAUCUCCUUGGUCGUUGCUGUUGAUUUUCUCUGCUCGGGUAAAUUUUUUAUCGAAGUUGGUUAUAUUUGUUGUGACUGCUUCUGUAAAAGAUUUCUAUUGGGAAUUGGUGUGUUGCUUGUUACAUUUCUGCUUAUUCUAGUGGGAGUCCUCCGGGCCAUGUACAAGUGUCAGCGUUGCUCAUUUAUAUGCCAACUUUUGCUUGUGUAGUGGUCUCCACUACAUCAGGUUAAUUGUCUGGAAUUACGCUGGGUGAAGAGGUCUCAGGAUAUAUGGUUUUUGGAUAUCAGGGAUACGUUCCAAUGGUUUGGGAUAUCAGGGAUACGUUCUAUUGUUUUUGGGGCUUUAAUGAUUCCAUGUUUACAGUGCAGAUAUAUUUGACAUAUGUUAUCUUUUGGUUCUGGUGUAAGAUGUGGUAGAUACACAUGGUUUUGGGACAGUGGUAAUUGGUUUUUGGGAUUUCUUCUGUGUUUUAUGUUAUGGGAUACAGAGUAAAAGAAAUGUGUUAUGUCUUGUGUAUGUUGAUAUGAGACUAUGAGAGUGGUGGUAUGGAGAUCUAUUGCUUUUGAAAGAGGGAAGAGCUGCAAUCUGUGUCACAUGUUUACACAGCUUGUACUCCUAGAUUAUGCCAUUACUUGGAGUUUUUAAUGGGCAUUUGGUUUUGGCGCUAUGUAUUAUUCUGUUUGUCACAUUUACAUUGUUGCUUUAACAGUGGCUUCUGCUGAUGCAAAAUACUAUUUACACGUACACAAUAGGGACAAAGUGGUCUGGUGUAUGGGGGAGUUUCUGAUUUACUUUAUCUCUGAUGUUCUGAUAUUGACUCUCCUGAUAUAGAUAUAGAUCUAUGAACAUGCCUCGGGGCGUGUCGAGGUUUAUGAUUAAGGUUGCUAUGCGAUUUUCUGUAUUGCAAUGCUCUUCAGCUUUCUGUUUAACAUCUCCUAUGAUUUUUAGAAUGUGGUCGUCUGGGAACCAUGUUUACUGGCCUUAGUUUGUAAGAUAGUGAGCCUGUGGUGUGAUAGUCUGGACCAUGUCCGGUGGCCUUAGUUUUUAUGGUAGUGCUCUCUGGUGUGAUAGUCUGGGAACCAUGUCUAGUGGCAAUGUUUUAAGGUAGUGACUACUAGUGAGCUUUCUCGUCUGGUUGGUAACAAUUUUCUUUUUUGGUAUCUGCUCAUUCAUUUGAUUUCAAUUUUUUACUCCCGGACUAUCUAAUUGGGCCUUGUUCUUUUUGGUUGAACUUCAGGACAUUUCAGUCUAGUUCAUUCAGUUUAUUUAUUAUUUAUUAUUUAUUAUUUAUUAUUUAUUAUUUAUUAUUUAUUAUUUAUUAUUUAUUAUUUAUUAUUUAUUAUUUAUUAUUUAUUAUUUAUUAUUUAUUAUUUAUUAUUUAUUAUUUAUUAUUUAUUAUUUAUUAUUUAUUAUUUAUUAUUUAUUAUUUAUUAUUUAUUAUUUAUUAUUUAUUAUUUAUUAUUUAUUAUUUAUUAUUUAUUAUUUAUUAUUUACUAUUUACUAUUUACUAUUUACUAUUUACUAUUUAUUACUCCCUCCUUUCCUAAAUAAGUGUCCAGUUCCCAUAAAUAGCGUUCCUUUAUAAGUGUCCAGUUUCCAUUUUUGGACAUACACCUUUCCCACUUUUCUAUACACUUUUCCUAUCUUUCUAUACACUUUUCCCACUUUUCCACACAAUUUUCCCACUUUUCUAUAAAUCAUUUUUACUUUUUCUUACACAUUCUACAAUUUUUCCACUUUUCUCAAUUACCACAUCCACUUUUAUUUAUGCUUUAUCAAUAAACAAUUAUCUACUUUUUCCUUUCCCGAAAAAAAAAUAUUCCCAAUCAUCUUACUCACAAUUCAGUUUUAUUAAAUUCCGCGUAAAUGUCCAAAGUGGACACUUAUUUAGGAACGGAGGGAUUAUUUAUUAUUUAUUAUUUAUUAUUUAUUAUUUAUUAUUUAUUAUUUAUUAUUUAUUAUUUAUUAUUUAUUAUUUAUUAUUUAUUAUUUAUUAUUUAUUAUUUAUUAUUUAUUAUUUAUUAUUUAUUAUUUAUUAUUUAUUAUUUAUUAUUUAUUAUUUAUUAUUUAUUAUUUAUUAUUUAUUAUUUAUUAUUUAUUAUUUAUUAUUUAUUAUUUAUUACUCCAUUCGUUUUUAAACAAGUGUCCAGUUUUCAUUUUAGGACAUAAACAUUUCCCACUUUUCUAUACACUUUUCCCACUUUUCAACACAUUUUUCCCACUUUUCUACAAAUCAUUAUUAUUAUUUUUUCUUACACAUUCUAUACUUUUCCCACUUUUCAAUCACCACAUCCACUUUUAUUUAUGCUUUAUUAAUAAACAAUUAUCUACUUUUUCCUUUCCCAAAAAAAAACAUUCCCGAUCAUUACCUCUUACACACAAUUCAGUUUUAUUAAAUCUCGCGUAAAUGUCAAAAGUGGACACUUAUUUAUGAACGGAGGGAUUAUUUAUUAUUUAUUAUUUAUUAUUUAUUAUUUAUUAUUUAUUAUUUAUUAUUUAUUAUUUAUUAUUUAUUAUUUAUUAUUUAUUAUUUAUUAUUUAUUAUUUACUAUUUACUAUUUACUAUUUAUUAUUUAUAAUUUAUUACUCCCUCCGUUCCUAAAUAAGUGUCUUAUUCCCAUAAAUAGUGUUCCCAUAUAAGUGUCCAAUUUCCAUUUAAACUUUUCUCACUUUUCUAUACACUUUUUCCACCUUUCUAUACAUUUUUCCCACUUCUAUAAAUCAUUUUUACUUUUUCUUACACAUUCUACCCUUUUCCCACUUUUCAAUCACCACAUCCACUUUUAUUUAUACUUUAUCAAUAAACAAUUAUCUACUUUUUCCUUUCCCAAAAAAAAAACAUUCCCAAUCAUUACCUCUUACACACAAUUCAGUUUUAUUAAAUCCCGCGUAAUUGCGUAAAUGUCCAAAGUGAAAACUUAUUUAGGAACGGAGGGAGUAUUUGUUAUUUAUUAUUUAUUAUUUAUUAUCCAAACAUCAUUCAUCGUUCCACCAUUCACCAUUUCAUCAUCCAUAAUUUAUCGUUAAUCAAUUUCGUCAUCCAUCAUUUCAUUUCAUCACCCAUAAUUCAUCAUUCAUCAUUCACCAUUAAAGAUGGAGAUCUUGUCAAGCGCAUCAUCCAUCAUUUGUCAUAUCAUCAUUCAUCAUUCCCUCAUCCAUCAUUGCCUACUGUUUUAGGGAACAAGUUGUAAAUAAACCUAAUCUACUAAAGAAGAUGAGAAAAUCAUAGCUGAGAGACUUAGGGGCCAAACCAACUGACUGGAAUACAUAUGGUCUCCUUGCUGCUGUAUUAUAUGUUAUGUUUAUCUAACUUAAACUAAUGAAUUGGCUUUUUUUUUGAGAGAGAAAAUCAUAGCUGAGAGAAUUAGGGGCUAAACUAAUGAAUUGACUUGAUCAUAAUAAAUAUGAAGGUAAAACAUUGAGAUCAAGAUUUUUUCAAUUUUUACUUUGGUUCCUAAAAAUAAAGUUGAUGUUGGCGGAGUAAUUAUAGACCUAGGUCAUGAUGCAUCUCUUCAGGCUUUGUGUCUUAGCGACUUAAAGUAAUUUACUGCAGGUAUAUGUAUUUUCAGUUCCUGCAAGUUGCUUCAGUUUUAUGUUGACGCUAUACUCAUGUAUUUUUGUUGGCAUUUGGUCUAUUCCUAGAUUUGCUUUAUAGUCUUGUUGGCUUCACAUGCAUGCAUGCUUGACGUAUAUAUCCUGUUGUCCUCGCUUUGCUUGGUUGAGCUAUUAACCUUCAUGUUAUUGACAAGAGUUCAGAGGUUUCUUGUUGAAUAGGAGGGAUGUUGGACGUUGGUUGGAUUUACACUUUUAAGCCAUUGAUUCAUGGUAUUGUUAAUUUUAUGCUGAUGUAAGUUUAGUUGUGGCAGACAAUGGAGAUUGAGAAAAAGGGUAGCUUACAUAUUUUUUGUUAUUCAAUGCAUGUUUCUUGUAUGGUUUUGAUCUCAUAUAGUUUGUGAUAGAUAGUUUAACUUAUUCUCUUCUUCAGUUAUAUAUAGUGGGGUUGGAAUGUUGGAUUAUGCGUGAGGUCAUAAACAUGCUUCAGGUGAAUCAGGUCCAUGUUUGGUCAAAACUAGUCUUUUCAUGUUUAUUAUAUUUGAUUUGAUAAUGUCUUUUAUUGUUGGCAAAUUUUUUUUAUUCUUGGAUUUACUCCUUGCAUUGUAGAUGUAUGAGCAUUUUUCCACUAUAGGAGUAGGGGUGCUAUAUUCUUUUUCUUGCAUAUAUGUAUGUACGAAGUACUAGUUUUGGACACUAUGAUACUGUGCUUUCUCUCAUGGACCUUACUGAUAUGGUUGCGGGAUUUUCUAGUCACCAGUGAGUAUGAGGUGUCUUCUUUCUGGGAAGUAUAUAUUGUAGUUGUUGCUUGAUCUUGUUCUGGUGAUUUGUGAAUAUUCAGGGAGAUGCCAUAGCUUCAAUUUUGUUGUUUCUGCCAUGACUAGGAUGGGGACAUAUAUGCUGAAGCAUGAUGAGUUUCUCUUCCUUUCUUGUCUUUUAAAAGUGUGCAUACUGUGUUCGUUCGUAAACAUAUAUACCUUCUGUUGCCCACCUUUUAAGUAUACCAUUGGCAUGCUUCAGCUUCAUGGUUUCUUGUUAUGGUUUCAGGGACUAUGGUUCUAGUAUAGUAGUAUAUCUUUGUUUUGAUUAGUGAGUAGAAUAUUUGUAGUUUAUAUCAAUAUGUUGUCCUUUAUUUGGUUGUUUGCCAUUACAAUGAAUUUGUAGGCAUGAAAGUGAAGGGUGGUCUCUUGCCGAUUUGAAAUGUAUCUUUUGUGAGAUAACCUUAGAGUUGGUUAUGUUCUUUUUAUCGUCUAUUCCUUUGGUGGCGUUGGAAAGUUACCUGUUUCUAGUUUUUUGUGGACAUGAAUAUAGAGCUUCUCGUAGUUCAUUGGAAGUUUUCCUUUUGUCUCAAGUUAACCAUGCGUAUUGCAUAUUCCGUUGCAUGCAUGUGAUUGCAGAUUUGUUAUAGGAUCUGCCAACUUCAGAAAAAUUUAAACAUCUAUUAUGUUCCUUGUUUCUUCUUUGUUGGGACUUGUACUGCAGAAAUUAUUUUAUAGACAUUUUUUUUUUAAAGUUUUUAACUCCGCCUGUGAGUGUCACUUUGUGGCAUUUGCUGCCGGUCUCAAGCCCGGGUAAAGGAGGAGAGUUGCAGUAGGUCUGUCGCGACCAGUGUAAAAACUUCUUCCUUCCUGUUAUUGUUAAUGGUAGACUAGUACUGGUUCUUGCUGGGAGUAUGGUUUCAGAACUAGUCUGCAAAGUAUUGUUGUCUGGUGAAUUCAGUAUAUGUGUGGGGUAUAUCCUUGAUAACAAUGUUGUUUGUGCCAUGACAGUUAGAUGGCAAGAUAUUGUCGACUAGGAAGAGGAAGAGUUUUUCAUCCUUUCAUGUCUAUAUAAAAUUUCAUUUUGUGUUUCUAAUCCUUGUUUUUCUUUGAUUGCCUCAUCUUUUUUUGAUGUUGCUACUUCUAGUCUUUUAGUGUACACACUUAGCACGCGACCUGUUUUGUGUUCAUGCUUUCAUCUUAGGGUUUUAUGGGUUGGAAUUUUGUGUUCAUGCUUUCAUCUUAGGGUUUUAUGGGUUGGAAUUUUCUUUGUUUGCGGUUGAGGAGUGGAAUGUCUGACGUAAAUAUCAAUAUGUUGUACUUGUAGCAUCUGUGUAAUAGUUAUUCCGAGUGUUAGAACUUCAUCAAUGUAGUGUAGUUCUCUUUCAUCAAUGUGUUGUACCGUGUGGUAGGUUAACAAAGAUGAUUGAGAGGUUUGCCUUGUUUUAACACUUUCUUCGCAAAGUAUUCUUAUGUUUGUGAAUAUUGACCUGGCAUUAUGUUUUUGGUAGGUUUGUGAGGUACUUAUUAUGUUUGUGAGCCGCCACACAAUAUAUUAUCGUGGAUCGACCUUUCUGAAAAGUUUGUGUUCUGGUUAUUGUUGACGUAGUUAGACAUUUCUGGUUUAUGUUGAUGAUCUCUGUGGACCCCUGCUAUGCUAGAAGGCACAUUAGUGUAUAAAAGAAGCAUCAACGUCCUUAGGCCCGUAAUUGAUUUCUUGUUCAGGGAAAGGGCCGCAUUGUUAUGGGUUGUGACGUGUGGCAUUCUCAAGAAAAGGUAGGUGAGAGCUUUAAUACGUUCCCACCGGAGUUGCGAGUCUUAUGGGCCAUAGCCAUUGUGCGGAUGGGUUGUUCAGAUCCCUCGUAUGGUGAAUAGGAAUUGUCAUGGGUAUUUUUGGGUUUGGUUCUGCAUAUUCUGUCCAAGAAGUCAAAGGGCAACAGGAAGGAGAUGAAGUUGGCAAUGUUGUUCAAGCCUUUCGAGGGAUUAUGUCUUGCUUAUUCUGGAUGAUAGCCUUGAAUAGCGGAUGGAGGACUACACAACAAGUUGUUGCUGCACCCUGAAACAUGAUGUAAAUUUAAGCUAAUUAAUUACUAUGGUUACACAAGUUGGUAACAAAGUAUUUCAUUGGCCAUAAUUGUUCAUCCAAUAUUUUUACUAGUAAUUUUUUUUGCAAAAUUACUGUAACCCUAUUUAUGUGCAUUUUUUAAGUUUAAUAUUUUAAGGUAGGUAUAUUGUUGGGAUCCAUGUAUUACCUCCGUUUUCUAAUAACAUUACAAGUUUUAUUUUGGUAUGUUUCUAAAAAAGGUUAACAAGUACGAUUGAUUCAA